Molecule: ribosomal RNA, 256 nt
Filed under: uncultured bacterium
Lineage: Bacteria
Description: partial 16S ribosomal RNA
Rfam family: Bacterial small subunit ribosomal RNA
Source: RNAcentral
UACGUAGGGUGCAAGCGUUUGUCCGGAAUUAUUGGGCGUAAAGAGCUCGUAGGCGGUCUGUCGCGUCGGGAAGUGAAACUCAGGGCUUAACCCUGAGCCUGCUUCCGAUACGGGCAGACUAGAGGUAUGCAGGGGAGAACGGAAUUCCUGGUGUAGCGGUGAAAUGCGCAGAUAUCAGGAGGAACACCGGUGGCGAAGGCGGAUCUCUGGGCCUGUCCUGACGCUGAGGCGCGGAAAGCUAGGGGGAGCGAACAGG